RNAcentral lists this ribosomal RNA (253 nucleotides) under uncultured bacterium. RNAcentral's name for it is "partial 16S ribosomal RNA". It matches the Rfam family "Bacterial small subunit ribosomal RNA", at positions 524 to 776 of the family's 1533-position model. The record is from RNAcentral.
GACGAACUGUCCUAACGUUGUUCGGAAUCACUGGGCUUAAAGGGCGCGUAGGCGGUCCGACAAGUCGGGGGUGAAAUCCUGCAGCUUAACUGCAGAAGUGCCUUCGAUACUGUCGGUCUUGAGGGAGAUAGGGGUGUGCGGAACUUCCAGUGGAGCGGUGAAAUGCGUUGAUAUUGGAAGGAACGCCGGAGGCGAAAGCGGCGCACUGGAUCUCUUCUGACGCUGAGGCGCGAAAGCUAGGGGAGCAAACGGG